Molecule: ribosomal RNA, 254 nt
Filed under: uncultured bacterium
Lineage: Bacteria
Description: partial 16S ribosomal RNA
Rfam family: Bacterial small subunit ribosomal RNA
Source: RNAcentral
CUUUCUCUGCUGGCGACCGGCGCACGGGUGAGUAACACGUAUCCAACCUGCCCUUUACUCGGGGAUAGCCUUUCGAAAGAAAGAUUAAUACCCGAUAGCAUAAUGAUUCCGCAUGGUUUCAUUAUUAAAGGAUUCCGGUAAAGGAUGGGGAUGCGUUCCAUUAGGUUGUUGGUGAGGUAACGGCCCACCAAGCCUUCGAUGGAUAGGGGUUCUGAGAGGAAGGUCCCCCACAUUGGAACUGAGACACGGUCCAA